UGCAUUUGCAACCUGAGCUCACACACGAUUACCCCGCUGAACUUAAGGCAUAUCAUUUAGCGGAGGAAAAGACACUAACUAGGAUUCUCUUUUAACGGCGAGAGAAAAAA
This 110-nucleotide ribosomal RNA is filed under the name Heterorhabditis sp. EPNKU20. RNAcentral describes it as "partial 28S ribosomal RNA". It matches the Rfam family "Eukaryotic large subunit ribosomal RNA", at positions 1 to 101 of the family's 3401-position model. Lineage: Eukaryota; Metazoa; Nematoda; Chromadorea; Rhabditida; Heterorhabditidae. The record is from RNAcentral.